Molecule: ribosomal RNA, 422 nt
Filed under: uncultured eukaryote
Lineage: Eukaryota
Description: SSU rRNA
Rfam family: Eukaryotic small subunit ribosomal RNA
Source: RNAcentral
CAAUAGCGUAUAUUAAAGUUGUUGCGGUUAAAAAGCUCGUAGUUGGAUUUCUGCCGAGGACGACCGGUCCGCCCACUGGGUGUGUAUCUGGCUUGGCCUUGGCAUCUUCUUGGAGAACGUGACUGCACUUGACUGUGUGGCACGGUAUCCAGGACUUUUACUUUGAGGAAAUUAGAGUGUUUCAAGCAGGCUUCCGCCUUGAAUACAUUAGCAUGGAAUAAUAAGAUAGGACCUCGGUUCUAUUUUGUUGGUUUCUAGAGCUGAGGUAAUGAUUAAUAGGGAUAGUUGGGGGUAUUCAUAUUUAAUUGUCAGAGGUGAAAUUCUUGGAUUUAUGAAAGAUGAACUUAGGCGAAAGCAUUUACCAAGGAUGUUUUCAUUAAUCAAGAACGAAAGUUAGGGGAUCGAAGAUGAUUAGAUACCAU